GAUGAACGCUGGCGGCGUGCCUAAUACAUGCAAGUCGAGCGAACAGACGAGGAGCUUGCUCCUUUGACGUUAGCGGCGGACGGGUGAGUAACACGUGGGUAACCUACCUAUAAGACUGGGAUAACUUCGGGAAACCGGAGCUAAUACCGGAUAAUAUUUCGAACCGCAUGGUUCGAUAGUGAAAGAUGGCUCUGCUAUCACUUAUAGAUGGACCUGCGCCGUAUUAGCUAGUUGGUAAGGUAACGGCUUACCAAGGCAACGAUACGUAGCCGACCUGAGAGGGUGAUCGACCACACUGGAACUGAGACACGGUCCAGACUCCUACGGGAGGCAGCAGUAGGGAAUCUUCCGCAAUGGGCGAAAGCCUGACGGAGCAACGCCGCGUGAGUGAUGAAGGUCUUCGGAUCGUAAAACUCUGUUAUUAGGGAAGAACAAACGUGUAAGUAACUGUGCACGUCUUGACGGUACCUAAUCAGAAAGCCACGGCUAACUACGUG
Molecule: ribosomal RNA, 497 nt
Filed under: uncultured bacterium
Lineage: Bacteria
Description: partial 16S ribosomal RNA
Rfam family: Bacterial small subunit ribosomal RNA
Source: RNAcentral